UAGCAUAUCAAUAAGCGGAGGAAAAGAAACAACAGGGAUUGCCCUAGUAACGGCGAGUGAAGCGGCAGCAGCUCAAAUUUGAAAUCUGGCUUCGGCCCGAGUUGUAAUUUGUAGAGGAAGCUUUUGGUGAGGCACCUUCUGAGUCCCCUGGAACGGGGCGCCAUAGAGGGUGAGAGCCCCGUAUAGUCGGAUGCCGAUCCAAUGUAAAGCUCCUUCGACGAGUCGAGUAGUUUGGGAAUGCUGCUCAAAAUGGGAGGUAAAUUUCUUCUAAAGCUAAAUACCGGCCAGAGACCGAUAGCGCACAAGUAGAGUGAUCGAAAGAUGAAAAGCACUUUGAAAAGAGGGUUAAAUAGCACGUGAAAUUGUUGAAAGGGAAGCGUUUGUGACCAGACUUGCGCCGUUCCGAUCAUCCGGUGUUCUCACCGGUGCACUCGGGGCGGCUCAGGCCAGCAUCGGUUUUGGCGGGGGGAUAAAGGUCCGGGGAACGUAGCUCCUCCGGGAGUGUUAUAGCCCCGGGCGUAAUGCCCUCGCCGGGACCGAGGUUCGCGCAUCUGCAAGGAUGCUGGCGUAAUGGUCAUCAACGACCCGUCUUGAAACACGGACCAAGGAGUCAAGGUUUUGCGCGAGUGUUUGGGUGUAAAACCCGCACGCGUAAUGAAAGUGAACGUAGGUGAGAGCUUCGGCGCAUCAUCGACCGAUCCUGAUGUAUUCGGAUGGAUUUGAGUAAGAGCGUUAAGCCUUGGACCCGAAAGAUGGUGAACUAUGCUUGGAUAGGGUGAAGCCAGAGGAAACUCUGGUGGAGGCUCGCAGCGGUUCUGACGUGCAAAUCGAUCGUCAAAUCUGAGCAUGGGGGCGAAAGACUAAUCGAACCAUCUAGUAGCUGGUUAC
This 888-nucleotide ribosomal RNA is filed under the name Neurospora tetrasperma. Its description in RNAcentral is "LSU rRNA". It matches the Rfam family "Eukaryotic large subunit ribosomal RNA", at positions 36 to 958 of the family's 3401-position model. Lineage: Eukaryota; Fungi; Ascomycota; Sordariomycetes; Sordariales; Sordariaceae. The record is from RNAcentral.